GCGAUAGCAAAGCAAACGGUUUUUAACACAGUGCUGCCUCUGUCGAACAAUCGGUAAAGUAAAACAGCAUUCAAUCUCUAUAGACACAGCAGAUUUUGGUAUUACGUAUGAGUUUUAAGAGCGAUCGAAUAGCGAUCAGCGAACAAAUACAACUGUCAAAUAGCAAAUGGUAAAUCAUUGAUUGUUGGUCGAUCGCUCGCUGAUCGCUCAGUUCGUAACGCUGUUUAUUAAUAGUUUUAAUUUGAUUAUUAAGGGUUUUUGUUUCAAUUUGUGCCUAUUUGGAUAUGGCUAGUGUAUUUUUAUUGUUAGAAGCUAUGAAUGGGGAAACUAGAAAAGCGUAAGACAUCUACUUUGCGGCGCAAUCUUCGAGAUGAUGCCGAAGCUUUGGAUCUGCCUAAUAAUUAAAUCCCAAGAAUUGUGCGAUGAAUUAAGGCCUUAUAAGUCGCAAACACGCAGGAGAAAUAAAAAUUUGUGUUGAGUGUAAAGUGCUAACAGUACUCUCCUUCACUAUAGGCUCAUAUCAAAACCUGCAGGUAUGAGCUAGUCACAUGUUCUGAGCCAAGCUAAUGUGUCAAAUUUAGUAAAUAAGGUGAUGAAAGCUCUAAAUUCGAGAGAAAUUUUGAUGAGAUAUAUUUGUUUCCCUCAGUCAUGGCAGCAAAGAAAUAAUGACAUAUAUGGGUAUGGUCCUAAUUAUAUAAAAUUGUAUUUAAUUUAAAGUAAAAUUUACAAACUUCAUUUCUUUCAGUUUUUCAAACAAAUUUGGCUGUGUGGGUUGCAUUGAUUAACAUGCUGAAUAUUUUUUAAUGGAAAGGAUUACCACGGUAUAAAUGUUCAAGUUAUAUGUUACAGUGAUUCAAAUAUAGUUAAUGUGGAUGCAUCAUUUAGUGGGAUGAGUCAUGAUGCAUAUAUCUGGAGAAACUGUGAAAUGCAGGCUCAAUUACAAAACUUACACAGUAGAGGAGAAAGGAUCUGGUUAUUAGGGGACUUGGGGCAUCCAUUAAUGACAUGGCUUUCAAAUCCAAUUGUGAAUGCAGAAGAAGGUUCCACAGAACAUUAUACCAAUAUUUACUACAACUUCGCCAGGAAUUUGAUUGAGCAUUACAUUGGAAUAUUAAAGCAUGUUGGAAAGUUUGCUAGCCACAGUGUUGGAUUAUGAUCAUCAUAAUAUGGUAGCAAUAA
Long non-coding RNA from Manduca sexta (tobacco hornworm), 1179 nucleotides. RefSeq lists it as uncharacterized. NCBI's taxonomy places the organism in Eukaryota, Metazoa, Arthropoda, Insecta, Lepidoptera, Sphingidae. The transcript has 4 exons. The record is from RefSeq and is a predicted model, not a curated record.